AUUGAACGCUGGCGGCAGGCCUAACACAUGCAAGUCGAACGGUAACAGGAAGAAGCUUGCUUCUUUGCUGACGAGUGGCGGACGGGUGAGUAAUGUCUGGGAAACUGCCUGAUGGAGGGGGAUAUCUACUGGAAACGGUAGCUAAUACCGCAUAACGUCGCAAGACCAAAGAGGGGGACCUUCGGGCCUCUUGCCAUCGGAUGUGCCCAGAUGGGAUUAGCUAGUAGGUGGGGUAACGGCUCACCUAGGCGACGAUCCCUAGCUGGUCUGAGAGGAUGACUAGCCACACUGGAACUGAGACACGGUCCAGACUCCUACGGGAGGCAGCAGUGGGGAAUAUUGCACAAUGGGCGCAAGCCUGAUGCAGCCAUGCCGCGUGUAUGAAGAAGGCCUUCGGGUUGUAAAGUACUUUCAGCGGGGAGGAAGGGAGUAAAGUUAAUACCUUUGCUCAUUGACGUUACCCGCAGAAGAAGCACCGGCUAACUCCGUG
This 490-nucleotide ribosomal RNA is filed under the name uncultured bacterium. RNAcentral's name for it is "partial 16S ribosomal RNA". It matches the Rfam family "Bacterial small subunit ribosomal RNA", at positions 30 to 507 of the family's 1533-position model. The record is from RNAcentral.